This 367-nucleotide transfer-messenger RNA is filed under the name Bacteriovoracaceae. Its description in RNAcentral is "GCA-2713145 sp002713145 Standard tmRNA". It matches the Rfam family "transfer-messenger RNA". From Rfam's summary of the family: Bacterial tmRNA, also known as 10Sa RNA or SsrA, is named for its dual tRNA and mRNA-like properties. Lineage: Bacteria; Pseudomonadati; Bdellovibrionota; Bacteriovoracia; Bacteriovoracales. The record is from RNAcentral. RNAcentral also lists the same sequence under 2 other names.
GGGGGUGCACUGGUUUCGCCAGGAGUACUGAAGGAUUGAGUGCGUGUCUGGGUUGGUCGGCAGGCCCAGUAAAAAGCCGCCCAAAUGUAUUCGGAAACGAAACAGAAUUUGCAAUGGCAGCAUAGUCCCAACGAUUAUGCGCAUGCUGCGGGGCCUACACCAAUAACAAAAAGUAGGUAAAGAGGACUGAGGGUCCUCGAUAAAAUAAGCCUCGCGAGGCAGUCGGGAAUCCUCGUAAAACAGUCACCGAGGUUUGUAAGUGGCACGAAACUUUCACAGCCGUUCCUUGCUCUAAUGGAACUACACACGUAGGACUCUCUACUGGAACUGCUCUUGCACGUCGGUUCGAUUCCGACCACCUCCACCA